UGGGGAAUUUUGGACAAUGGGGGAAACCCUGAUCCAGCCAUCCCGCGUGUGCGAUGAAGGCCUUCGGGUUGUAAAGCACUUUUGGCAGGAAAGAAACGUCAUGGGUUAAUACCCCGUGAAACUGACGGUACCUGCAGAAUAAGCACCGGCUAACUACGUGCCAGCAGCCGCGGUAAUACGUAGGGUGCAAGCGUUAAUCGGAAUUACUGGGCGUAAAGCGUGCGCAGGCGGUUCGGAAAGAAAGAUGUGAAAUCCCAGGGCUCAACUUAGGAACUGCAUGUGUAACUACCGGGCUAGAGUGUGUCAGAGGGAGGUGGAAUUCCGCGUGUAGCAGUGAAAUGCGUAGAUAUGCGGAGGAACACCGAUGGCGAAGGCAGCCUCCUGGGAUAACACUGACGCUCAUGCACGAAAGCGUGGGGAGCAAACAGG
Molecule: ribosomal RNA, 429 nt
Filed under: Acidobacteriota bacterium
Lineage: Bacteria; Pseudomonadati; Acidobacteriota
Description: Acidobacteria bacterium partial 16S ribosomal RNA
Rfam family: Bacterial small subunit ribosomal RNA
Source: RNAcentral